This 125-nucleotide ribosomal RNA is filed under the name Pezizomycotina sp. RNAcentral's name for it is "partial small subunit ribosomal RNA". It matches the Rfam family "Eukaryotic small subunit ribosomal RNA", at positions 1657 to 1779 of the family's 1831-position model. Lineage: Eukaryota; Fungi; Ascomycota. The record is from RNAcentral.
CCUUUGUACACACCGCCCGUCGCUACUACCGAUUGAAUGGCUCAGUGAGGCCUUCGGACUGGCUCAGGAGGGUUGGCAACGACCCCCCAGAGCCGGAAAGUUGGUCAAACUCGGUCAUUUAGAGG